UGAAGCGUUGGUUGUGUGACAUGUGGUCAUC
This 31-nucleotide non-coding RNA is filed under the name Homo sapiens (human). Lineage: Eukaryota; Metazoa; Chordata; Mammalia; Primates; Hominidae. The record is from RNAcentral.